CCUCAUUGUAAACAGACUGUAACU
This 24-nucleotide non-coding RNA is filed under the name Cricetulus griseus (Chinese hamster). Lineage: Eukaryota; Metazoa; Chordata; Mammalia; Rodentia; Cricetidae. The record is from RNAcentral.